UACGUAGGUGGCGAGCGUUGUCCGGAUUUACUGGGCGUAAAGGAUGCGUAGGUGGAAAUUUAAGUGGGAUGUGAAAUCCCCGGGCUCAACCCGGGAACCGCAUUCCAAACUGGAUUUCUUGAGUACAGGAGAGGAAAGCGGAAUUCCUAGUGUAGAGGUGAAAUGCGUAGAUAUUAGGAGGAACACCAGUUGCGAAGGCGGCUUUCUGGACUGUAACUGACGCUGAGGCGCGAAAGCGUGGGGAGCAAACGGGAUUAGAUACCCCUGUAGUCCCUGAGCGGGCU
Molecule: ribosomal RNA, 284 nt
Filed under: uncultured prokaryote
Description: partial 16S ribosomal RNA
Rfam family: Bacterial small subunit ribosomal RNA
Source: RNAcentral